Acanthopagrus latus (yellowfin seabream) is the source of this 881-nucleotide long non-coding RNA. RefSeq lists it as uncharacterized. The record is from RefSeq and is a predicted model, not a curated record. Lineage: Eukaryota; Metazoa; Chordata; Actinopteri; Spariformes; Sparidae. The transcript has 2 exons.
UCUAUAACUCAAGACUUAAUCCUGCUUAAUGGGGGCCUGAUGUCCACAUUUGUGGACACUUACACUGUCAUCUAGUGGUGUCAGAAGAGUACAACACACUACAGGUUAAAUUCAAGAUGGCAGCAAGCACACCAGAACUUUCGGACGACCAUUCCCAGUGGAAACAUCAAUCAGAGCGUAUUUCUCUGUCAAGAGCAGAGUGGAUACUAGGGACAAUUGUUGGUGACAACUCAGAGGUGGAGGAUUUGUCUGACAUCGAUGAUCCUGUGUGGGAUGCUGAUUAUCAACCCCCACCACAGGAGCCAAGCAGCAUUGAGGAUGAGGAUCCCAUUCCACAGCCCACUGAGCCCAGCAGGGGACGUAAACAUCGCCGUGGUGAAAAUGGUUACCGUUCAGACUGUGACGUUACCAGAUCAUGCACCCAGAGAUGUCACCGUCAAACUUUGAAUGUUUUUAUAAUGAAAAGAUAAAACCUUUUUUUGUAUUUCAUCAGUGCAAGCAGUGGUGAAUUGAAGCGUAAUAAAAACUGCGACACACAUCAUCAGUCCAGUGGAGGUGGGCCAGGAGAAGUUAGCAUCUCUUAACUAGUUGGCUAGUGUUCGGUAGUUAGCUGCUGAACUGUAAAUGUUUUGCACUUCCACAACUGUGAUGGAAAGUGUGGCCUCACACCAGUGAAACACGACGAGGAAACCUUUUUUAUUUCCAAAUGAAAGAGCGACAUAUUUGGCCAUUCUUUUCAGUGUUGCUGAGGGUAGAAACUACUGUGUUUUGCUAGGCUAACGUAUUUAGUUGGCUUAAACAUUUGCUGCUUAAACUGACAACAGAAAACUGGCGUGAGUUAUAGAGAACGGAAUUAAUCAUUAAAAUAUAAGUCAAUUGUU